GACGAACGCUGGCGGCGUGCUUAACACAUGCAAGUCGAACGGAAAGGCCCUGCUUUUGUGGGGUGCUCGAGUGGCGAACGGGUGAGUAACACGUGAGUAACCUGCCCUUGACUUUGGGAUAACUUCAGGAAACUGGGGCUAAUACCGGAUAGGAGCUCCUGCUGCAUGGUGGGGGUUGGAAAGUUUCGGCGGUGGGGGCUGGACUCGCGGCUUAUCAGCUUGUUGGUGGGGUAGUGGCUUACCAAGGUUUUGACGGGUAGCCGGCCUGAGAGGGUGACCGGCCACAUUGGGACUGAGAUACGGCCCAGACUCCUACGGGAGGCAGCAGUGGGGAGUAUUGCACAGUGGGCGGAAGCCUGAUGCAGCAACGCCGCGUGCGGGAUGACGGCCUUCGGGUUGUAAACCGCUUUCGCCGGUGACGAAGCGUGAGUGACGGUAAUGGGUAAAGAAGCACCGGCUAACUACGUG
RNAcentral lists this ribosomal RNA (468 nucleotides) under uncultured bacterium. RNAcentral's name for it is "partial 16S ribosomal RNA". It matches the Rfam family "Bacterial small subunit ribosomal RNA", at positions 28 to 507 of the family's 1533-position model. The record is from RNAcentral.